GAACAAGACGCUCGGUUCCAUAUUUUACAGUCUAUGGUUCCAACGCACAGUUCACCUGAUGAGGGUCCAUAUUGAAGCAAACAGUAAAGAAUGCCUUGGCUGCAGAGUUGAUGUAGGACCAUUUGUACUGCAGCGAUGACACAGUAAAACAGUGGGCUAUUGAUGUCAAGCAGUAGGCAAGUAGUGGAAAUGCUGCAGCCGGUCCUGUUGCUGCUCGUGGCUUGCAGCCGUCCAUCGAAUCACUCUUUGAGAGCAUUUGUCAGAAGAAAACACUAGCAUUUAAAGGUAGAAUAUCGGAACAAAAGGGGUCAGAUGAUUAGUCAAAAGACUGCCCAAGAACAGAAACGCUUGCUUGAAGAGAUCCAGAGAUACAACCGACAACCUAAUGGUGACCAUGUGGACACAGAAACUACAGUAACUGUCCAACAAAGCAGAAGAGAACAGGAUUUAACCUUGACGGGAACAGAACACAGGUUAUCCGAACGCAUUCACAGAGGAUGGGUCCAAGGGCCUCUUUGUGUACUGAAGAAAAGACUGCAGGAGCUCAGACUGAAACAGCAGCAGACUGUAGCGUGCACAUACAGAGGGAUUCUGGACUCAACUCCUAUCCUGAUGGAAGAAGACGAAAGGGAAAUGGACUUGGAUCAUGACAUUAGCUCUGAGGAUGAAGAUGAGGAUGAGUAUGAUACAGCGGUGGGAUCGCUUUGGUUUCUAGACUUCAGAAACAUCUCUUUAAAUGUAUAUAUUUGAUUUAGUUUGAAAGUUGAGUUUUUUUAAAGACCAUUAAAGCUAAAGGAGAUGAUUAAAUUCACUGACGUUAACACUCGGGCUGCACGAUAUUGGAAAAAUCCGACAUUGCGAGAGUUUUUCUGUGAUAUUUGUUGCUAUAUGAUUAAUUAUUUCACUAGAUGAAUUGAAUAGCUCAGUUUGGAAAUAACUCCUUAUUUAAUAUCAGUUGGGAUGAUUUUGUAGGCCAGAUAAUCUGCACAAAUGAAAUGUAAUUAAUUUAACUCUUUUGGUGAGUCUAACUGUAUUUGAGAAUAAAGUGAAUAAUCAAACAUAAGCAAAUGAUCUUCACUGUAGAAAAGUUAAAUGCAAAUGCAAUUUUAUUGCUAUAAUUUCUUGUACACAAAUGAUUUAAAUGCACUUGAAAUCUAACAGUCAUAGGCCUUAAACAAAGCAAACAAGCACUCGUUCACCCUAUUAAGGUCAAACUUCACAAUCACUCAACAAUAUGGUUCCUGAUCAGCUAUAGAUCCACUCAGAUUUCCUGAAGGAUAAAUAAACUGAAGCUGAACUUGACAUUGCAGAUCCUGUGACGUGACUACUGUGAAUGAUCACAUUGUGAUAUGGAUGCUGAGACGAGAUAUAUUGUGCAGCCCUAGUUAAAACUGAUAACAGAAAUAUGCAGUUCUUUACCUUUGUAACAACAUGCUGAUUUACACUGCUGUAUUAUCAGGAACAAUAUGUUUGUAUUGUUUCUGCUCUGCAAAACUUUUGGAUCUCAAAUGUCUGUAAAUUCUUGCUAAAGCUGUAGAUAUGAAAUACACAUUUAAUUAGUCAUUAACUAACUAAUGAUUGACUUCUGUUAAUCAAAAUCCAGGCCUUGACAAAAGAAUGAACUGGACACUUUAAGAUUUAACUCGAACUACUAACAUGUUACUGCUAGUUAUCUCAUACUACCUCCCUGUAUACUAUUAAGACACUGUCACUUUAUCAUCAUUAUCAUGUUUACAAGCUUUUUGCUCUACCGUAUAUACUGUUUUGCACUAUACUUUUGCAUUAUAUACCGUUUUGCAUCUGCACAACUCUAGUUUGCACUGCUUGCCGCCCUUAAGUGUAAUUGUAUUGUUUAUAUAUUUUUUUUAUUUUACUUGUAUUUUUAGAUUAUACGUGUAAUUGUAUUUACUGUAAUUUCUUUUCAAAACUCUACUUUUUGUAUUAAUGUUAUAUGUUCGGGUCUGAGGGUUUUGAUUCUCUGUAUGUCCUGUACAUGUGGUUGAAUUGACAAUAAAGCUGACUUUGAUUUUGA
Long non-coding RNA from Danio aesculapii, 2032 nucleotides. RefSeq lists it as uncharacterized. The transcript has 5 exons. The record is from RefSeq and is a predicted model, not a curated record. Lineage: Eukaryota; Metazoa; Chordata; Actinopteri; Cypriniformes; Danionidae.